Molecule: ribosomal RNA, 694 nt
Filed under: Streptomyces sp. I08A-00450
Lineage: Bacteria; Bacillati; Actinomycetota; Actinomycetes; Kitasatosporales; Streptomycetaceae
Description: bacterial SSU rRNA
Rfam family: Bacterial small subunit ribosomal RNA
Source: RNAcentral
CGAUGAGGCCCCUCGGGGCGGAUUAGUGGCGAACGGGUGAGUAACACGUGGGCAAUCUGCCCCUCACUUCGGGACAAGCCCUGGAAACGGGGUCUAAUACCGGAUGACAUCCUUGCCCGCAUGGGCGGGGGUUGAAAGCUCCGGCGGUGAGGGAUGAGCCCGCGGCCUAUCAGCUGGUUGGUGAGGUAACGGCUCACCAAGGCGACGACGGGUAGCCGGCCUGAGAGGGCGACCGGCCACACUGGGACUGAGACACGGCCCAGACUCCUACGGGAGGCAGCAGUGGGGAAUAUUGCACAAUGGGCGCAAGCCUGAUGCAGCGACGCCGCGUGAGGGACGACGGCCUUCGGGUUGUAAACCUCUUUCAGCAGGGAAGAAGCGCAAGUGACGGUACCUGCAGAAGAAGCGCCGGCUAACUACGUGCCAGCAGCCGCGGUAAUACGUAGGGCGCGAGCGUUGUCCGGAAUUAUUGGGCGUAAAGAGCUCGUAGGCGGCCUGUCGCGUCAAUUGUGAAAGCCCGGGGCUUAACCCCGGGUCUGCAGUCGAUACGGGCAGGCUAGAGUGUGGUAGGGGAGAUCGGAAUUCCUGGUGUAGCGGUGAAAUGCGCAGAUAUCAGGAGGAACACCGGUGGCGAAGGCGGAUCUCUGGGCCAUCACUGACGCUGAGGAGCGAAAGCGUGGGGAGCGAACAGGAU